CCUACGGGCGGCAGCAGUGAGGAAUAUUGGUCAAUGGGCGCGAGCCUGAACCAGCCAAGUAGCGUGAGGGAAGACUGCCCUACGGGUUGUAAACUUCUUUUGUCAAGGAGUAAAAUGCGGCACGCGUGCCGUUUUGUAAGUACUUGAUGAAUAAGGAUCGGCUAACUCCGUGCCAGCAGCCGCGGUAAUACGGAGGAUGCGAGCGUUAUCCGGAUUUAUUGGGUUUAAAGGGAGCGGAGAUGGGAUGUUAAGUCAGUGGUGAAAGUGUGAGGCUCAACCGUAAACGAGGCAUUGAUACUGGCAGUCUUGAGUACAGGUGAGGUAGGCGGAAUGCGUGGUGUAGCGGUGAAAUGCUUAGAUAUCACGAAGAACUCCGAUUGCGAAGGCAGCUUACCAAAGUGCCACUGACAUUGAUGCUCGAAAGUGUGGGUAUCAAACAGGAUUAGAUACCCUUGUAGUC
RNAcentral lists this ribosomal RNA (460 nucleotides) under uncultured bacterium. RNAcentral's name for it is "partial 16S ribosomal RNA". It matches the Rfam family "Bacterial small subunit ribosomal RNA", at positions 338 to 795 of the family's 1533-position model. The record is from RNAcentral.